UUGUCUCUAGGUCACAUAGUGUAGUUUAGUCCAUUCAUUUUCUUUCUCUUAUGUCUAUAUAAGACAUGUAUUUUAGUAGAGGAAGCAGAAUGAAAGAACGAGCCGAACAAAAUCCCUCACAAUAUAUUCCUCUCCCCUUCAUGGUUAAACCUUUCCUUCAACACCAAACUGUCCUCCGUGUGUAACUCUGUUUGUAUAAAAAUAAGUGUGUUUUAAUAAAAGUUUUCAAGUUUUUGCAAAAGUCCUUAGGGUUCCCAAAAGGGAAACCUCUCAGUUAUAUCAUGUAAGUCUCAUUUAAGCUUUACUUUUUCCCGCCAAAAAUAUGCUAAUGUUUAUGUUUAUAUGCUUAUGAUUAUGUAGUUCAUGUAAAUAAUCUUGUUUCUUUAAAAACGUAACCUUAGUAUAUGAUUAACCUCUUAAUUUUUUAAUAACAACGAUGAAUUAACUUGUAAAUUCCUAGGAGUCCUGGCCUUAAUAGUCCACCGAAAUCAAAGAGUAAAGGACGAAUGUUGUUUGCCAGAUGAAUAUUUCAGGGUGUGGUUAAAGAAGAAAUUAUUAAGAACAAAGGUUAAGAGAGAGAUGAACAGGGUCAGAUUAAAAAAAAAAAAUUUAAUAUGAUAAACUUUAAAUAUAGAUGACUUUUAUAUAACAAUAAACUUUAAUGAUAAAUGAUUUUCAUGUAACAAAAAAAUAAAAAUAAUUUUGUUUGACCAUAUGUGUAUUUAGCUGACUAAACAAUUUUGUUAGGAUCUAAAAAUUAGAUUAUAUAACAUAAAUUGAUAUAUUAGAGAGACCUUUCUAAGUAGAUAUUUUUUUUAAUUAUAUUGAAAACAAUUAACCAAUUAGUAAUUUGCCUUUUUAAGAUGUUCAAAAGUCACAUCUGGUGUCAAAUACAAUAAAAAAUAAAAUCCAUUAAUAACAUGGAAAUGUAUAUAUUUGUAGAGUAUGACUUUUUUUUUUAUAAGAGUUAAAAAAGAAGUUGAACUAAGUCAAUUUGUUAUCAAAUACAAAUAAAAAAAUAUAGUGAAAUUCAAUAUUUACCUUUUAUCUUCAAGUGGAAGUAAAAUAAAAUAAUCAAGAGAGAAGCAAGUGUUAUAAAUGGACUAAUUGGUUUAAGUCAAGGUCUUUUUAAAGGAAAAAGAAACAAAUAUGCGGUUCAGAUUUUUUUUUCGAUAUAUCUCUUUUAAAAAAGAAAAAGUGAAAAUAAAUAUGUUAGAAAGAUUGUUUAUUAAGAAAAUAAACACAUCCUAAUUAUUAUGAGUUUCAUACGUUAUCUAUUCAUUAUGGAAAAAGACUUAAAUAUGCUAAUUAUUAGAAAUGACUUAUUCAUGGCGUUUGUUACAAAUUUGACUCAUCUAUGUUACCGCAUUUAAAAGUUUGGGUUCAUUUAUGUCAUUAUCAUAAUAGAUUGGUUCAUUCAUGCCAUUAUUUUAUAAUGAUGAUUUUGCAAAAUCAUUUUUGCCACGUGAAAAUGUAAACAAAUACAAAAAAUAUUCUUGGUACCUGUGGGACAAACACUUAAACUUGGGCUCAACUAGCAAGUAAGUACUCCAACUUUGAGAGUGCACUCCAACUUGAUCUCAACUGGCAACUAAACAUUCUAACUUGUUCCGUCUCUCUAGUGGUCACUCGAUAGCAACGUGACACAUAUGUUUUGAAGGUGUCCAGAUGUGCAAACUCAAAGUUGGAGUGUUUAAUUGCCAGUUGGGGCCAAGUUUGAGUAUCUGCUUGUGUUUAUGUCUUUUUUAUUUGUUUGACAGUACGUCUGUUAGUUGAUUAUUUUGAAAAUAUUUUGCAGAUAAAUUAUCUUUAACUGUCUAACAUAACAUUCUCAAUGUUUUGCAGAUAAUUUAUCUUUAAUUGUCUAACAUAACAUUCUCAAUAUUUUACAGAUAAUGUCUUUAACUGUCUAACAUAACAUUCUCAAUCUUUAGAACAAAUAUGCAUGAAUUAUUUCAUGAAGUAUGUGCUGAAAAUUGCUUAAGUUACUGCACUAGUUUUUUGCAAAAUAAGUUAAAUAAUUUAGGAUGAAUUUAAAUUUUGAAUUUAAGUUAUGUUAUUUGAUUUGUUGAGACAAUUUAGUUAAUUUAUAUUUUGAAUGUUGCUGAUUUUUCUAUUGUAAGGUGGCUAUUUAAAGCCCCCUGAUGCUCAAUAAAAUUAUUGAAUGCUAUUAAAAGUUAUUCAAUCAUUUGAGAGUCAUUUUAACCCAUUUUAACUCCCUUUUCGUUGCCCCGUCUUUCUUUAAAAAACCAACAAUAUUUGUCCGAAUAGUUUAGAGACUCGAUGGUUAGCUUUCGACCUCCCAAUCAACAAACAAUGUCGAUGAAAGUGUAGAUGAAUUUGCAAAACCAUUCUUGGAAGAUUCAUGCAAGAGUGUAGGUGAAUUUGCAAAAUCAUUUGAAAAUUAAAGUAUUUUCAAAGAAGAAAGAAAUCAUUCUUUUCUCAAACGGAUUAAAAAGAAAAGUAUCGUAUGUAAAAAUUGACUAGACCAAAUAUUUGCUUACAAACUUAUUUAGGUCUGUCUAGCCUUAAAAAAUUAAUCCACGUGGAAUAUUUUUAUUCUUUUUUGCUAAUACGUUAUUUUUUUAUUUUGUUAAUUGAUUUUUGUUAAUUUUGAGGUGUGUUUCUUAAAAUAAUGAGUAAUAAUUUAGGUGUGUUUCUCAUACUCACAAGUGUCUUAGUAUAAAACUCCAAAAAAGAGAAAAUAAUUUUAGAUGCAUUUUUGCCACUUAAUACUUUUUGUAAAUUAAAGGUAGUCUUGAUAGUUGUCAUAUUCACUUUAUGGGUCAAAAAAUAUCCUUUUCUUUUUUAAAAAUAACUAUUUUGCUCCGAAACCUCUAGAGAUUUGUUUCGAUCCUCCACCCUUAUAUUAGUAUAUCUUAAUUGACUUAUUAGCCCACAAAGUAUUAGCGGCACACAGCUAAUAUAAACACAAAAUUUGUGAUUGGUACAACAAAUUGGCCAAGGUCUUUUUUAAAUAUAUCAAUGAGGUAUAUUUCUACAUAAUUUCAUAAGUGGAAAUUACACAAGCGUAUGUAGGAUUGGACAUAUUUUGGUUCAAGUCAAAGAAAUCGAAAACUCAAAUCAAAAUUUAAUUUUGAUUUUGUUUUUUUUAAUUUUUCGGAUUGGUUUCAAUGUCAAAUUUUAAAAAUUUGAAUAAACAGUUUGGUUUUUGAUUUUUCCAAAAAAAAAAUCCAGUUAAAUCGAAAAAUCAACAACAACAGACCCAGUGUAAUCCCACACAGUGGAGUUUGGUGAGGAUAAUAUGUACACAGUUCAUACCGCUACCUCCGAAGAAGCAGAGAGGGUAAAAUGUACACAGUCAAUAAUAUAUAAGUUGAUUUGAAAAAAAAAAAAAUUCAAACUAUUUAAGUCAAUCAAAUAUGAGAAAAUUAAAAACAUAAAAAACAACUAACUAAAAGUAGAAAUACAAGCUAGCUUUAUACUGUCUUCGUUCCAAAAUACUUGAUCCUUUUGUAUUUGGCGCGCCCUUAAGAUUUCAAAUAUUUCUUGCGUAUUUUUACUUUUUUACCCUUAUACCCUAAUUAUGAUAGAAAUCAAGAAAUAUUUAAUUGAUGGCACGCAUGCUUUACUACCCCAAUAAAUAUAGCGGUUCAUAUUCACUUAGAAAUUCAAUACAAAGAGUCAAAAAGGGUCAGAUAGGUAUCUGAAAUUUACAUUUAAUAACAGUCUUCAAACUGGAGAAGAUUUGCCUAUUAAGUCUUUUCAAGUUUUCAAUUAGCAAAAUGGCCUACUUCUAUUUUUUCAUCGGUCGAAUUGAUAAUCGAUCAGUCAGUACAUAGGUCGGAUCAAUAAUCAAUUUAUCGGAUCGAUAAUUGAUCUUCUAUAUAUCAAUCGGAUAAAUAAUAGAUCUGUCUACAAAAUGUGUCAUUUCCUAAAAAAAUAAAUAAUACUUUUAGUCUAUUUAAUUUAAAAAAAAACUUGAAAAAAACAUUUAACAAUAGAUCCUUGAAACUGGUGUAAUACUCAAUGUAUUAGGAGUAAAUUGAAAAAGAAUGUUUAAAAUACUCUUCAUUUUAUAAAUAGGACAAAUAAAAUUAGAAAGAGGGUGACAUAUUUUGAAACGAAGGAAGUAACAUAGAAAACAUUUAACUAAAAAUUGUAAUACACGCUAAGUAAACAGAUGAAGUUAAAAAUAAUUUACAUUUUUAGUUGUUCAGCAAUCAGAUCUGCUGUCAAACACAAAUGAAAAUGAAAAAAACCGAUUAGUAGCACUAAAAAUUAUAUAUAUGAAAAGGUCGAAUAAAAUAUAAAGAGAUUUUUAAUAUGAUAACUUUAAAUAUAGCUGACUUUUAUAUAAAAAUAAACUUUAAUGAUAAAUGACUUUCAUGUGACAAAAAAUUAAAAAAAAAUUGUGUAAUCAUUUGUGUAAUUUAGCUGACUAAACAAUUUUCUUAGGAUCUAAAAAUCAUAUUAUAUAACAUAAAAUUGAUAUAUUAGAGAGAGCAUAAAGAAAUUGUAAAACCGUUUUCCUUUCUAUGUAAGUUGAUACUUUUUUAUUUAUUACAUAAAAAAAAAUAACUAAGUCAUAAUUUAGCUUUUUCAGAUGUUCAACAGUCAAAUCUGGUGUCAGAUACAACAAAAAAAUAAGAUUCAUUAAUAACAUGGAAAUGUAUAUAUUUGAUGAAUAUGAAGAAGAAGAAAAAAACACAGAAGUUAAAAAAAGUUGAACUAAAUUAAUUUGUUAUCAAAUACAAAUAAAAAAGUAUAAUGAAAUUCAAUGUUUACCUUUGAUGAUCUUCAAGUUGAAGCAAAAUAAAAUCUUCAAUGUUUGCAGAGAGUUUUGAAUUUUAUAAGAAACCAAAAGCAAGAGAGAAGCAAGUGCUAUAAUGGAAUGAUUGGUUUGAGUCAAGGUCUUAAAGGAAUAAAGGAAAAAGAAGCAAAUAUCUCUUUUAAAAAAGAAAAAGUGAAAAUAAUUGUGUUAGAAAGAUUGUUUAUUAAGAAAAUAAACACAUCCUAAUUAUCACGAGUUGAUACGUUAACUAUUCAUUAUGAAAAAAGGCUUAAAUAUGCCAUCAAAUUAUUAGAAAUAAUUUAUUUAUGUCGUCCGUUCUAAGUUUAACUCAUUUAUGUGCCCGCCUUUAAAAGUUUGGGUUCAUUUAUGACACUAUUGUAAUAAAUUGAUUCAUUCAUGCCAUUAUUUUAUAACAGUGAUUUUGUAAAAUUAUUUUUGUCGUGUGACAUUUUACUAGAAGUCUACGUCAUCAAAUUUAAAUCAAAUAUAAACAAAUACAGAAAAUAUCCUUGGCACCUGUGGGACAAACGCUCAAAUCUGGUCUCAGCUGGCAAGGAAAUGUCAUGUAUUUAAGGGAAUCACACAUCAGAGGUAAUAGAACCCUUGUAAAGUUGAA
Molecule: long non-coding RNA, 5372 nt
Filed under: Capsicum annuum
Lineage: Eukaryota; Viridiplantae; Streptophyta; Magnoliopsida; Solanales; Solanaceae
Description: long non-coding RNA (CANN_LNC013411)
Source: RNAcentral